Molecule: ribosomal RNA, 468 nt
Filed under: uncultured bacterium
Lineage: Bacteria
Description: partial 16S ribosomal RNA
Rfam family: Bacterial small subunit ribosomal RNA
Source: RNAcentral
GACGAACGCUGGCGGCGUGCUUAACACAUGCAAGUCGAACGGAAAGGCCCUGCUUUUGUGGGGUGCUCGAGUGGCGAACGGGUGAGUAACACGUGAGUAACCUGCCCUUGACUUUGGGAUAACUUCAGGAAACUGCGGCUAAUACCGGAUAGGAGCUCCUGCUGCAUGGUGGGGGUUGGAAAGUUUCGGCGGUUGUGGAUGGACUCGCGGCUUAUCAGCUUGUUGGUGGGGUAGUGGUUUACCAAGGCUUUGACGGGUAGCCGGCCUGGGAGGGUGACCGGCCACCUUGGGCCUGAGGUACGGCCCAGACGCCUACGGGCGGCAGCAGUGGGGAAUAUUGCACAAUGGGCGGAAGCCUGAUGCAACAACGCCGCGUGCGGGAUGACGGCCUUCGGGUUGUAAACCGCUUUCGCCUGUGACGAAGCGUGCGUGACGGUAAUGGGUAAAGAAGCACCGGCUAACUACGUG